Molecule: ribosomal RNA, 775 nt
Filed under: uncultured Neocallimastigales
Lineage: Eukaryota; Fungi; Neocallimastigomycota; Neocallimastigomycetes; Neocallimastigales
Description: partial large subunit ribosomal RNA
Rfam family: Eukaryotic large subunit ribosomal RNA
Source: RNAcentral
UCAGACGAUGCGUCACGCAUAUCAAUAAGCGGAGGAAAAGAAACUAACAAGGAUUCCCCUAGUAACGGCGAGUGAAGCGGGAAGAGCUCAAAUUUGAAAUCUUAAAGGGUUUCCCUUUACGAAUUGUAGUUUAAAGAAGUGUUUUCUGUUGAGGUUUUGGUAAAAGUUCUUUGGAAUAGGACAUCGAUAGAGGGUGAGAAUCCCGUAUUUGACCUUUACUUUCAACUUUGUGAUACACUUUCAAAGAGUCGGAUUGUUUGGGAAUGCAGUCCAAAAUGGGUGGUAAAUUUCAUCUAAAGCUAAAUAUUGGCGAGAGACCGAUAGCGAACAAGUACCGUGAGGGAAAGAUGAAAAGAACUUUGAAAAGAGAGUUAAACAGUACGUGAAAUUGUCAAAAGGGAAGCGUUUGACACCAGUGUUGUUUUUCUGAAAAUCAAUUAAAGAACUGUUUAUGCUAAGCUGUUUAGACUUUAUCAGCUAUCUGUUUAGUUUUGAGCUUUUCUUUAAUGCACUUUUCAGUUAACAAGUCAACAUCAAUUUCUUUUGCUGUAAAAAAGCUUGAGGAAGGUGGCUUGAGAUUCGUCUUAAGUGUUUAUAGCCUCUUGCCUAUGCAGUCGGAGAGAUUGAGGUCUGCAGCGUAGAUCCUUCGGGGCUAAAUGCAUUUGUGCUAAGUUAUAGCAUUUUAUAGACAACUUGUUGACUAUGAUUUGUCUUGUAGCUUACUCGCUUAUGUUAUUUUACCUACGCUUAGGAUGUUGAGCGCAUGUCUCUCUCU